Molecule: ribosomal RNA, 117 nt
Filed under: Sinocyclocheilus anshuiensis
Lineage: Eukaryota; Metazoa; Chordata; Actinopteri; Cypriniformes; Cyprinidae
Source: RNAcentral
UACCACAGCCAUAUCACCCUGCAGCCCAAGACUGGUUGCCCACUGAAGCUAAGCAGGGCUGAGCCUGGUCAGUACCUGGAUGGGAGACCUGUUGGGAAAACUAGGUUGCUGUUGGAA